Molecule: ribosomal RNA, 433 nt
Filed under: uncultured bacterium
Lineage: Bacteria
Description: partial 16S ribosomal RNA
Rfam family: Bacterial small subunit ribosomal RNA
Source: RNAcentral
AACGAACGCUGGCGGCAUGCCUAACACAUGCAAGUCGAACGAGACCUUCGGGUCUAGUGGCGCACGGGUGCGUAACGCGUGGGAACCUGCCCUUAGGUUCGGAAUAACUCCCCGAAAGGGGUGCUAAUACCGGAUAAUGUCUUCGGACCAAAGAUUUAUCGCCUUUGGAUGGGCCCGCGUUGGAUUAGCUAGUUGGUAGGGUAAAAGCCUACCAAGGCGACGAUCCAUAGCUGGUCUGAGAGGAUGAUCAGCCACACUGGGACUGAGACACGGCCCAGACUCCUACGGGAGGCAGCAGUGGGGAAUAUUGGACAAUGGGCGAAAGCCUGAUCCACCAAGGCCGCGUGAGUGAUGAAGGCCUUAGGGUUGUAAAGCUCGUUUACCCGGGAUGAUAAUGACAGUACCGGGAGAAUAAGCUCCGGCUAACUCCGUG